This 704-nucleotide ribosomal RNA is filed under the name uncultured bacterium. RNAcentral describes it as "bacterial SSU rRNA". It matches the Rfam family "Bacterial small subunit ribosomal RNA", at positions 194 to 916 of the family's 1533-position model. The record is from RNAcentral.
GCAGCGGGCAAAGCUCAGGCGCCUCGGGAACGGGGAAUGUCCUAUCAGGUAGUUGGUGAGGUAACGGCUCACCAAGCCUAAGACGGGUAGCCGGUGUGAGAGCACGACCGGCCACAUCGGGUCUGAGACACUGCCCGGACUCCUACGGGAGGCUGCAGUGACGAAUAUUCCGCAAUGGGCGAAAGCCUGACGGAGUGACGCCGCGUGCGGGAUGAAGCCCUUCGGGGUGUAAACCGCUGUCAGGGGUAAGCAACCUAAUGAGCUACCCCAGAGGAAGGGGCGACUAACUCUGUGCCAGCAGUCGCGGUAAUACAGAGGCCCCGAGCGUUAAUCGGAGUCAUUGGGCUUAAAGGGUGCGUAGGCGGACCUUCAAGUACUUUGUGAAAUCCCACGGCUCAACCGUGGAAUAGCUUGGUAUACUGGAGGUCUUGAGGUUGGUAUGGGCCGCUGGAACCGUAGGUGUAGCGGUGAAAUGCGUAGAUAUCUACGGGAACGCCGAAGGUGAAGACAGGCGGCUGGGCCGAUUCUGACGCUGAGGCACGAAAGCGUGGGGAGCAAACGGGAUUAGAUACCCCGGUAGUCCACGCCCUAAACGAUGUGCACUGGAUUCGGGAGGCUUUGACGCCCUCCGGGUCGAAGCGAAAGUGCUGAGUGCACCGCCUGGGGAGUACGGUCGCAAGGCUAAAACUCAAAGGAAUUGACGG